AUGGGCAGCUGCCACCACUACCAGAGUCUUCCUUGCAAUGCGAGCUUCUUGCAUCAUGACUUCUAGAUUCCAAGUAUGCAAAGCAAACGCUCGUACCCUGACUCCAUCUGGGAUUUGGAAUGCACUCAGGGAAGUGGCUGUGCAUGGAGACUAGAAAUGGAAGAGGCUUCCAAGGUCAUGCCUUUCAGGCUCCCUUCAAAUUCUACAGCUACUGUGAAGAGAGUUGCAUUCCCACAGAGAACAUGUCAGACUGGAGGAAAAUUGUGACAAAAGGUCUCCCCAAAGAUCGAGGAAAGGAGGUUUGCCUGAAAAGGAGCCAGAGUGGUUCCGCCCAGACUGACGUGCUUCUGGCAGCCGGUGUGUACUGCUUGGUGACUGCUCUUUCAUUUCAGGUGGUGAUUUACCAAAUGCCGCUUUUUUUCUGUAUGACACAGGCGUGGCCAAACAUAGUCACCACUCAGAAUGUUGGGGAAGUUUCUCGUCCCCAUCAAACAGAGGGAGCAACCCUUGGUGGUUCAACAAUGAAGCCUCCAUUAGCUGAGAAGUCUAACUGUGAUUUAUCAUUCCCUACCUAUAAAGAUUGUAAACAAAUCA
This 594-nucleotide long non-coding RNA is filed under the name Homo sapiens (human). Its description in RNAcentral is "long intergenic non-protein coding RNA 2454". Lineage: Eukaryota; Metazoa; Chordata; Mammalia; Primates; Hominidae. The record is from RNAcentral.